GCAUGUGAGAACAAUCAACUGUGACACCUGUCAGCCCACCAAUUGCCUGCAUUGAUUCUGCUGCUCUGGCUGGCAAGGGAGAGCAGCAGAAUUCUUCCCUCAGUGCCCCACGUGUGUCCCUCUAGAAGCUGCAUGGUUGGUUGAAGAGAACCACCUUCCCUGAUAAAGAAGAGUAUUCUGUGGUCAAGGGUAUGCAAACAACCACACUUCUUUACAGGAUCCUCCAAACAAGCUCUCAAGAUC
RNAcentral lists this small RNA (243 nucleotides) under Nannospalax galili (Upper Galilee mountains blind mole rat). RNAcentral describes it as "7SK RNA (ENSNGAG00000003431.1)". It matches the Rfam family "7SK RNA", at positions 1 to 243 of the family's 331-position model. From Rfam's summary of the family: 7SK was discovered as an abundant small nuclear RNA in the mid-70s but a possible function has only recently been suggested. Two independent studies have found that 7SK RNA binds the CDK9/cyclin T complex (known as elongation factor P-TEFb). P-TEFb activates transcription by phosphorylating the C-terminal domain of RNA polymerase II. Lineage: Eukaryota; Metazoa; Chordata; Mammalia; Rodentia; Spalacidae. The record is from Rfam by way of RNAcentral.